GACGAACGCUGGCGGCGUGCUUAACACAUGCAAGUCGAACGAUGAUCUCCCGCUUGCGGGGGUGAUUAGUGGCGAACGGGUGAGUAAUACGUGAGUAACCUGCCCUUGACUCUGUGAUAAGCCUUGGAAACCGGGUCUAAUACUGGAUACUACUUCCUGCCGCAUGGUGGGGGGUGGAAAGGGUUUUACUGGUUUUGGAUGGGCUCACGGCCUAUCAGCUUGUUGGUGGAGUAAUGGCUCACCAAGGCGACGACGGGUAGCCGGCCUGAGAGGGUGACCGGGCAAAAUUGGGAUGAGAAACGGCCCAGACUCCUACGGGAGGGAAGAGUGGGGAAAUUUGCAAAAUGGGCGGGAGCCUGAUGCAGCGACGCCGGGUGAGGGAUGACGGGCUUCGGGUUGUAAACCUGUUUCAGCAGGGAAGAAGCCACAAGUGACGGUACCUGCAGAAGAAGCGCCGGCUAACUACGUG
RNAcentral lists this ribosomal RNA (469 nucleotides) under uncultured bacterium. RNAcentral describes it as "partial 16S ribosomal RNA". It matches the Rfam family "Bacterial small subunit ribosomal RNA", at positions 28 to 507 of the family's 1533-position model. The record is from RNAcentral.